This is a non-coding RNA of Mus musculus (house mouse), 70 nucleotides long. Lineage: Eukaryota; Metazoa; Chordata; Mammalia; Rodentia; Muridae. The record is from Rfam.
GGGAGAUGGCUCAGCAGUUAAGAGCACUGGCUGCUUUUCCAGAGGGUCUGGGUUUGAUUCCCAGCACCCA